GACAGAGGUUGCAAACGUUGUUCGGAAUUACUGGGCAUAAAGCGCACGUAGGCGGUCCGUUAAGUCAUGUGUGAAAUCCCCCGGCUCAACCGGGGAAUUGCGCCUGAUACUGGCGGGCUAGAGAUCGAUAGGGGUGAUCGGAACUCCAGGUGGAGCGGUGAAAUGCGUAGAUAUAGGGAAGAACACCAAAAAAGGCGAAGGCAGUUAACUAUUCUAUUCCUGACGUUGAGGCAUGAAAGCGUGGGGAGCAAAACGG
RNAcentral lists this ribosomal RNA (256 nucleotides) under uncultured bacterium. RNAcentral describes it as "partial 16S ribosomal RNA". It matches the Rfam family "Bacterial small subunit ribosomal RNA", at positions 524 to 776 of the family's 1533-position model. The record is from RNAcentral.